RNAcentral lists this long non-coding RNA (726 nucleotides) under Rattus norvegicus (Norway rat). RNAcentral's name for it is "long non-coding RNA NONRATT013600". The record is from RNAcentral. Lineage: Eukaryota; Metazoa; Chordata; Mammalia; Rodentia; Muridae.
CAAGUUGCUAUUAUUGCUGGCUCCCUAAUUAUAGCUAAAUUGCUAAAUGUCAAGAUUGAAGGGAUUGGAAUGUGGGCAUUUCCUACCAAAAACAUUCUUUUUCUUGAUGCGACUCGAGUUUUGUCAAGUUCAAAGUGCGAAGCAGCCCUGACUCUGGAACCUCUGGAGUGGCUAGGAGGUCCUGGGAAGGGCGCCCUAGUUAGUGGAUCGCAGCACAAGACCGACUCCCAAGCCUAUGCAGUAUCGCGAGCCAGAAUAGAGGUGGCCUUCUUCAGCUUUGGGCAACCAUAGUACCCGAAGGCGGACUGCUGUUGACCUACGUACGUUAUUCCCCUCUCCCUCCCCCACGGCCCAGCGUCCUGUGGUUGCGUCGCCCACCUCGCCUCCGCAGCAUCGAAGGCCAACCUUCGCACUCCCAGGCUGCGGGCGCGGGGAGCAGACGCGCUGUCCCCCGGCCGGCCCCACGCGCACGGCGCCCCGAAUCCCGAGCCAGCCCAGAGUGGGCGGCGCGUCGGGCUGGGUCUCGGCACAGCCUCGCCGGCCCGGAUCCCCAUUGGUCGUCACCUCGGCGGGAGGGCGGUCCGGUCCCCGCACCUGCCGUCGCCCCUCCACGGGCAGAUUGGCGGCUGCGGGACACCGGCGCCCAGAAGCCGCAGCACGAGAGGGCAGGCCUGAGGCUCAUCCGACCUCCACGCGGCGGGCCCUGUCCUUUUGCUGCCGCGGCCG